ACGACUGCUAAGACUGGAUAGGAAGUUUUAAGGCAUCUUGAAACUUUUAAAAGACCUGAAAGGGUAUGCUGAGAGAUGAGCUUGCGGCACAUUAGUUAGUUGGUAAGGUAAAGGCUUACCAAGACUAUGAUGUGUAGCUGGACUGAGAGGUUGAACGGCCACAUUGGGACUGAGAUACGGCCCAAACUCCUACGGGAGGCAGCAGUAAGGAAUUUUCGGCAAUGGAGGAAACUCUGACCGAGCAACGCCGCGUGAACGAUGAAGUAUUUCGGUAUGUAAAGUUCUUUUAUUAAAGAAGAAAAAAUGGUGGAAAAAUCAUUCUGACGGUAUUUAAUGAAUAAGCCCCGGCUAACUAUGUGCCAGCAGCUGCGGUAAUACAUAGGGGGCAAGCGUUAUCCGGAUUUAUUGGGCGUAAAGGGUGUGUAGGCGGUUUAAUAAGUCUAUGGUGUAAGUGCAACGCUCAACGUUGUGAAGCUAUAGAAACUGUUAGACUUGAGUUGGAUAGAGGCAAGUGGAAUUCCAUGUGUAGCGGUAAAAUGCGUAAAGAUAUGGAGGAACACCAGUAGCGAAGGCGGCUUGCUGGGUCUUAACUGACGCUGAGGCACGAAAGCGUGGGGAGCAAACAGGAUUAGAUACCCUGGUAGUCCACGCCGUAAACGAUGAGUACUAAGUGUUGGGUUAAACCAGUGCUGAAGUUAACACAUUAAGUACUCCGCCUGAGUAGUACGUACGCAAGUAUGAAACUUAAAGGAAUUGACGGGACUCCGCACAAGCGGUGGAUCAUGUUGUUUAAUUCGAAGAUACGCGAAAAACCUUACCAGGUCUUGACAUAACGUGGCAAAGCUAUUGAAAGAUAGUGGAGGUUAUCCACGUUACAGGUGGUGCAUGGGUUGUCGUCAGCUCGUGUCGUGAGAUGUUGGGUUAAGUCCCGCAACGAGCGCAACCCUUAUUGCUAGUUACCAUCAUUUAGUUGGGCACUUUAGUGAGACUGCCAAUGAUAAAUUGGAGGAAGGUGGGGAUUACGUCAAAUCAUCAUGCCCCUUAUGACCUGGGCUACAAACGUGAUACAAUGGCUGUUACAAAGAGUAGCUGAAACGUGAGUUCUUAGCCAAUCUCAAAAAAACAGUCUCAGUUCGGAUUGAAGUCUGCAACUCGACUUCAUGAAGUCGGAAUCGCUAGUAAUCGCGAAUCAGCAUGUCGUGGUGAAUACGUUCUCGGGGUUUGUACACACCGCCCGUCA
This 1240-nucleotide ribosomal RNA is filed under the name 'Spartium junceum' witches'-broom phytoplasma. Its description in RNAcentral is "bacterial SSU rRNA". It matches the Rfam family "Bacterial small subunit ribosomal RNA", at positions 156 to 1399 of the family's 1533-position model. The record is from RNAcentral. Lineage: Bacteria; Bacillati; Mycoplasmatota; Mollicutes; Acholeplasmatales; Acholeplasmataceae.